GGAUUAGGGUGCAAGUCGAACGAGGAUAUAUCCUUCUGGAUAUAAGCCCAGUGGCACAAGGGUGAGCAAUGCAUAUAUUACCUACCUUUAGGAUAAGGGCAACUUUGUGAAAACGGAGCUAAUACUUAAUGACCAAAAGAAAAUAAUUUUCUUUUGUCAAAGGGAGGGUAGCAAUACCUUUCGCCUAGAGAGGGGUUUAUGUCCUAUCAGCUUGUUGGUGGGGUAAUAGCCCACCAAGGCGAAGACGGGUAGCCGGUUUAAGAGGAUGGUCGGCCACACUGGGACUGAGACACUGCCUAGACUUCUACGGAAGGCUGCAGUCGAGAAUCUUUCUCAAUGCCCGAAAGGAA
Molecule: ribosomal RNA, 350 nt
Filed under: uncultured bacterium
Lineage: Bacteria
Description: bacterial SSU rRNA
Rfam family: Bacterial small subunit ribosomal RNA
Source: RNAcentral